UACAGAGGGUGCAAGCGUUAAUCGGAAUUACUGGGCGUAAAGGGCGCGUAGGCGGCCUUCUAAGUCGAACGUGAAAUCCCCGGGCUCAACCCGGGAACUGCGUCCGAGACUGGAAGGCUCGAAUCCGGGAGAGGGAUGUGGAAUUCCAGGUGUAGCGGUGAAAUGCGUAGAUAUCUGGAGGAACAUCGGUGGCGAAGGCGGCAUCCUGGACCGGUAUUGACGCUGAGGCGCGAAAGCCAGGGGAGCAAACGGG
This 253-nucleotide ribosomal RNA is filed under the name uncultured bacterium. RNAcentral's name for it is "partial 16S ribosomal RNA". It matches the Rfam family "Bacterial small subunit ribosomal RNA", at positions 524 to 776 of the family's 1533-position model. The record is from RNAcentral.